UUCUUGAAAACCAAUUGAACGAAAUGUGCCA
RNAcentral lists this non-coding RNA (31 nucleotides) under Rattus norvegicus (Norway rat). Lineage: Eukaryota; Metazoa; Chordata; Mammalia; Rodentia; Muridae. The record is from RNAcentral.